RNAcentral lists this small RNA (28 nucleotides) under Bombyx mori (domestic silkworm). Its description in RNAcentral is "ovarian small RNA-23403". The record is from RNAcentral. Lineage: Eukaryota; Metazoa; Arthropoda; Insecta; Lepidoptera; Bombycidae.
UAUAGUCAAGUUUCUAAUGAAUACAAUU